UACAGAGGGGGCAAGCGUUGGUCGGAAUUACUGGGCGUAAAGGGCGCGUAGGCGGCCUUCUAAGUCAGACGUGAAAUCCCCCGGCUUAACCUGGGAACUGCGUCUGAUACUGGGAGGCUAGAGUGCGGGAGAGGGAUGCGGAAUUCCAGGUGUAGCGGUGAAAUGCGUAGAUAUCUGGAGGAACACCGGUGGCGAAGGCGGCAUCCUGGACCGACACUGACGCUGAGGCGCGAAAGCUAGGGUAGCAAACGGG
Molecule: ribosomal RNA, 253 nt
Filed under: uncultured bacterium
Lineage: Bacteria
Description: partial 16S ribosomal RNA
Rfam family: Bacterial small subunit ribosomal RNA
Source: RNAcentral